Small nuclear RNA from Marmota marmota marmota (Alpine marmot), 105 nucleotides. Lineage: Eukaryota; Metazoa; Chordata; Mammalia; Rodentia; Sciuridae. The record is from Ensembl.
AUGCUUUGGCAGCACAUAUAUACUAAUAUUGGAACAAUGCAGAGAAGAUUAAAAUGGCCCCUGCACAAGAAUGACAUGCAAAUUUGUGAAGCAUUUCAUAUUUGG